RNAcentral lists this ribosomal RNA (450 nucleotides) under uncultured bacterium. Its description in RNAcentral is "bacterial SSU rRNA". It matches the Rfam family "Bacterial small subunit ribosomal RNA", at positions 354 to 796 of the family's 1533-position model. The record is from RNAcentral.
GUGGGGAAUUUUGGACAAUGGGCGAAAGCCUGAUCCAGCAAUGCCGCGUGCAGGAUGAAGGCCCUCGGGUUGUAAACUGCUUUUGUACGAAACGAAAAGCCUGGGGCUAAUAUCCCCGGGUCAUGACGGUACCGUAAGAAUAAGCACCGGCUAACUACGUGCCAGCAGCCGCGGUAAUACGUAGGGUGCAAGCGUUAAUCGGAAUUACUGGGCGUAAAGCGUGCGCAGGCGGUUUUGUAAGACAGUGGUGAAAUCCCCGGGCUCAGCCUGGGAUAUGCCAUUGUGACUGCAAGGCUAGAGUGCGGCAGAGGGGGAUGGAAUUCCGCGUGUAGCAGUGAAAUGCGUAGAUAUGCGGAGGAACACCGAUGGCGAAGGCAAUCCCCUGGGCCUGCACUGACGCUCAUGCACGAAAGCGUGGGGAGCAAACAGGAUUAGAAACCCCGGUAGUCC